UGGCUCAGUUGGUAGAGCAUGGUGUUUGCAUGGUGUUUGCAACACCAGGAUUGUGGGUUCAAUUCCCAC
RNAcentral lists this transfer RNA (69 nucleotides) under Salmo salar (Atlantic salmon). It matches the Rfam family "tRNA", at positions 8 to 63 of the family's 71-position model. Rfam says of the family: Transfer RNA (tRNA) molecules are approximately 80 nucleotides in length. Their secondary structure includes four short double-helical elements and three loops (D, anti-codon, and T loops). The record is from Rfam by way of RNAcentral. Lineage: Eukaryota; Metazoa; Chordata; Actinopteri; Salmoniformes; Salmonidae.